GCAGUCGANCGGCAGCACGGGGGCAACCCUGGUGGCGAGUGGCGAACGGGUGAGUAACAUAUCGGAACGUGCCCUGGAGUGGGGGAUAACUAGUCGAAAGAUUAGCUAAUACCGCAUACGAUCUACGGAUGAAAGUGGGGGAUCGCAAGACCUCAUGCUCGUGGAGCGGCCGAUAUCUGAUUAGCUAGUUGGUGGGGUAAAGGCCUACCAAGGCAUCGAUCAGUAGCUGGUCUGAGAGGACGACCAGCCACACUGGGACUGAGACACGGCCCAGACUCCUACGGGAGGCAGCAGUGGGGAAUUUUGGACAAUGGGCGCAAGCCUGAUCCAGCAAUGCCGCGUGGGUGAAGAAGGCCUUCGGGUUGUAAAGCUCUUUUGUCAGGGAAGAAACGGUUCGGGUUAAUACCUUGGGCUAAUGACGGUACCUGAAGAAUAAGCACCGGCUAACUACGUGCCAGCAGCCGCGGUAAUACGUAGGGUGCAAGCGUUAAUCGGAAUUACUGGGCGUAAAGCGUGCGCAGGCGGUUGUGCAAGACAGAUGUGAAAUCCCCGGGCUCAACCUGGGAAUUGCAUUUGUGACUGUACGGCUAGAGUGUGUCAGAGGGGGGUAGAAUUCCACGUGUAGCAGUGAAAUGCGUAGAGAUGUGGAGGAAUACCGAUGGCGAAGGCAGCCCCCUGGGAUAACACUGACGCUCAUGCACGAAAGCGUGGGGAGCAAACAGGAUUAGAUACCCUGNNAGUCCACGCCCUAAACGAUGUCUACUAGUUGUCGGGUCUUUAUUNGACUUGGUAACGCAGCUAACGCGUGAAGUAGACCGCCUGGGGAGUACGGUCGCNAGNNUAAAACUCAAAGGAANUGACGGGGANCCGCACAAGCGGUGGAUGAUGUGGNNUAAUUCGAUGCAACGCGAAAAACCUUACCUACCCUUGACNUGG
Molecule: ribosomal RNA, 936 nt
Filed under: uncultured bacterium
Lineage: Bacteria
Description: bacterial SSU rRNA
Rfam family: Bacterial small subunit ribosomal RNA
Source: RNAcentral